UCAGGACGAACGCUGGCGGCGUGCUUCAUACAUGCAAGUCGAACGAGAAGCUGACUUCGGUCAGUGGAAAGUGGCGGACGGGUGAGUAAUGUGUAGAGAAUCUGCCCUUUAGUGGGGGACAACAGUUGGAAACGACUGCUAAUACCCCAUAUGCGCGUACUUGAGAUAGUAUUCGUGAAAACUCCGGUGCUAAAGGAUGAGUCUGCAUCUGAUUAGCUAGUUGGCGGUGUAAUGGACCACCAAGGCGACGAUCAGUAGCUGGUUUGAGAGGAUGAUCAGCCACAAUGGGACUGAGACACGGCCCAUACUCCUACGGGAGGCAGCAGUAGGGAAUUUUGCGCAAUGGGGGAAACCCUGACGCAAGCAACGCCGCGUGAUUGAAUAAGCCCUUCGGGGUGUAAAGAUCUGUCAGUGGGGACGAAACUUGAUGGUACCCACAGAGGAAGCAUCGGCUAACUCCGUGCCAGCCGCGGC
RNAcentral lists this ribosomal RNA (474 nucleotides) under uncultured bacterium. Its description in RNAcentral is "bacterial SSU rRNA". It matches the Rfam family "Bacterial small subunit ribosomal RNA", at positions 24 to 518 of the family's 1533-position model. The record is from RNAcentral.